RNAcentral lists this ribosomal RNA (255 nucleotides) under uncultured bacterium. RNAcentral's name for it is "partial 16S ribosomal RNA". It matches the Rfam family "Bacterial small subunit ribosomal RNA", at positions 524 to 776 of the family's 1533-position model. The record is from RNAcentral.
UACGUAGGGGGCGAGCGUUGUUCGGAAUUAUUGGGCGUAAAGCGCGUGUAGGCGGUUCGGUAAGGCGGAUGUGAAACCCCCUGGGCUCAACCCAGGGCCUGCAUCCGCGACUGCCGGGCUAGAGUGUGGGAGGGGGAGAGCGGAAUUCCUGGUGUAGCGGUGAAAUGCGUAGAUAUCAGGAGGAACACCGGUGGCGAAGGCGGCUCUCUGGACCAUAACUGACGCUGAGACGCGAAAGCUAGGGGAGCAAACAGG